GCUGUUAGUUUGUGGGGUGGUGC
Molecule: microRNA, 23 nt
Filed under: Ixodes ricinus (castor bean tick)
Lineage: Eukaryota; Metazoa; Arthropoda; Arachnida; Ixodida; Ixodidae
Description: iri-miR-X1b-5p
Source: RNAcentral